CCUACGGGGCGCAGCAGUGAGGAAUAUUGGUCAAUGGGCGGGAGCCUGAACCAGCCAAGUCGCGUGAGGGAAGACGGCCCUAUGGAUUGUAAACCUCUUUUGUCGGGGAGCAAAGAGAUCACGUGUGGUCAAAAGCGAGAGUACCCGAAGAAAAAGCAUCGGCUAACUCCGUGCCAGCAGCCGCGGUAAUACGGAGGAUGCGAGCGUUAUCCGGAUUUAUUGGGUUUAAAGGGUGCGUAGGCGGGACGGUAAGUCAGCGGUAAAAAUGCGGAGCUCAACUCCAUCGAGCCGGUGAAACUGCCGUU
This 305-nucleotide ribosomal RNA is filed under the name uncultured bacterium. Its description in RNAcentral is "bacterial SSU rRNA". It matches the Rfam family "Bacterial small subunit ribosomal RNA", at positions 338 to 640 of the family's 1533-position model. The record is from RNAcentral.